RNAcentral lists this unclassified non-coding RNA (237 nucleotides) under Hevea brasiliensis (rubber tree). The record is from RNAcentral. Lineage: Eukaryota; Viridiplantae; Streptophyta; Magnoliopsida; Malpighiales; Euphorbiaceae.
GGAGAGUUCACUACUAUUUCUUGAACCUUGAUGGAUCUGUGCAGCCUUAUUCUUAGAUACGAAGUUGGUCAUCUUCUCAUGCAACCGUUCACUAGCAUCUGCAAUGUGCGCAUGGCGAAGCUCAAGCCAAACUGGAUCAUGGUCCUCCAAAAGAACCUCUUUCUUCUCCGGUGGACCACCAACUUUGCUUGGAACCUCAUGAACAUAUUUAUUCCCCUCCAUACUAAGCAAAUCGCG